Long non-coding RNA from Cervus elaphus (red deer), 998 nucleotides. RefSeq lists it as uncharacterized. The record is from RefSeq and is a predicted model, not a curated record. The transcript is spliced from 3 exons. Lineage: Eukaryota; Metazoa; Chordata; Mammalia; Artiodactyla; Cervidae.
CAAGCCUGUCUCAGGAUGACCUUGUGCCGUGUGAGCAGCCAAUGUGGAGCCGCCGAAGGCUUCGGGCAACUGAAGACUUUUGUUUCAUGAAGGAUCCCAUUUAGGACACCGUGUUACAUUUCAUCAUCAUGUCUCCUUUGGCUCCUCCUGACUCUGACAAUUUCUCAGACUUCCUUUGUUUUUGAUGACCUUGACAGUUUCUAGGAGUGCUGGCAGCUCCAGGCCAACCUUCUCCUGCCAGAGGACGCAGGGCUGAAAGGACUCUGCAUGUGGAUAGAGGAGCCUGGCUCACUGCCCUCGCUGACUCCUGGGAGCUGAGCAGUUUCUCAUCUUGGACUUCAGAUUCCUCAGUGUGAAGUGGGAAUGCUUCUCUACUGGCCUCAUAGGAUUGUCAUGGGCAUGAAAUGGAAACAACAUUUGUACUCUGUUAGGUACAGUCAUUGUGCUGUGAGAAAGAGCCAGCGUUCCCUGCCUUGGAGUAGAGAGUGGGGGCAGAGAGGGUCCUGCGUCACCCAGGCGGGGAGGGGGCUUUCCCUGUGGACCAAGGCAGCCUGGGAAGGAGCGCCCAACCUCCAGGACGAACCUGCGUUCUGCAGGAAAGUGAAUUCUCCCCACCCAGAGCUCCUAAAUUGAGUUUUUUGCUCUUUUAAAAUUAUUUUGUGUUCUCUCCAAAAAUUCCUAAAUUUCAGAGUAAAAACUUCCUCUCCCUCAUCACUCCUUCCCCCAAAUCCACUCCCUUCUCCAAAGGAGGCAGCUGUUAAGUUGUUGGCAUGAAUCAUUUCACAGUCUUUCUCAUUGAUUUUUUUUUUUUUUUUUUUUUUGCUGUUACUAUAAAAAAGAAGUUUGAGGACUUCCCUGCUGGUCCAGUGGCUAAGACUCUGUGCUCCCAGUGCACGGGGCCCGGGUUCCAUUCCUGGUCGGGGAACUAGAUCCCGCAUGCUGAAAAUAAGAGUUCACUUGUAGCAGCUAAAGCUCCUGCAUGCUGCAACUAAGACCCA